This 253-nucleotide ribosomal RNA is filed under the name uncultured bacterium. Its description in RNAcentral is "partial 16S ribosomal RNA". It matches the Rfam family "Bacterial small subunit ribosomal RNA", at positions 524 to 776 of the family's 1533-position model. The record is from RNAcentral.
UACAGAGGUCUCAAGCGUUGUUCGGAUUCAUUGGGCGUAAAGGGUGCGUAGGCGGCUCGGUAAGUCGGGUGUGAAAUCCCGGAGCUUAACUCCGAAACUGCAUUCGAUACUGCCGUGCUUGAGGACUGGAGAGGAGACUGGAAUUUACGGUGUAGCGGUGAAAUGCGUAGAUAUCGUAAGGAAGACCAGUGGCGAAGGCGGGUCUCUGGACAGGUCCUGACGCUGAGGCACGAAGGUCAGGGGAGCAAACGGG